Long non-coding RNA from Oncorhynchus nerka (sockeye salmon), 1172 nucleotides. RefSeq lists it as uncharacterized. The transcript is spliced from 2 exons. The record is from RefSeq and is a predicted model, not a curated record. Lineage: Eukaryota; Metazoa; Chordata; Actinopteri; Salmoniformes; Salmonidae.
GAGUUAACCUGUGUUUCAUUUCACUCGAUUUUACAUACAUUUUUCAAAUUUCCUCUGGAGGUGCAGGUGUAGAGGGACCUCGAACUGAUGCUAAAGUUCGCACCGGACAGACGCGGGAGUCUAUCCAAAUCUUGUGUCAUUAAGAAUUUGGCAGUACGUCCAACCGGCCUCACAGCCGCAGACCAUGUGUACCCACGCCAUCAAAGGACAUCCACAUCCCGCUUAUUCACCUGCAGGAUCAUCUGAGGAGGGGUGCUGAGGAGUAUUUUUGUCUGUAAUAAGGUCCUUUUGUGGGGAAAAACUCAUUCUGAUUGGCUGGGCCUGGCUCCAUAGUGGGUGGACCUGGCUCCCAAGUGGUGGGGUCUAUAGAUUAGGGCCUAAUGAAUUCAUGUAAAUUGACUGAUUUCCUUCUAUGAAAUGUAACUCAGUAAAAUCUUUGAAAUUGUUACAUGUUGUGUUUAUAUUUAUGUUCAGUAUAUAUCAGCCACCCCUGGCACUGAAUAUCAUUAUUGUCCCUGAAUAGCGUUAGAAUAGCAUUUGCUUCUGAUGAGUAAGAGGGGGGGGAGGGUGGCUGUAUGAUUCACUUAAUAUUAACAUUAUAAGACAGUUCCAUUGAGUCACACUGUAGAGACAAUUGGGAGCACCCUGCUGCCUGGAAAUGGACUGAGAUGCCGUGUCUUCUAAGGAAAGAACAUUGCCAAGUUAAUGAGCUAUAGAGAUGAAGCAUAAUUUACUAGUGCGUGCACCACACUCAAUCAACUGACUGCAUAUCACUGUCUUGUCUCUGUUGUGUAAAGCAGCAUAGUGCUCCAUAAAAUGCAGUCUUUUGUCAUUGUAACUUUAUUUAUUUUGAGGUUUGCCUGUCUUGGACCUAUUGAGCAAAUACUGCAUGUUGUUUAUACAGUAGGGUAUGUUGGUUGUGUAGUAACCUAGACUACAGUGUAGCUGUCCGGAUCUCUGGCAGCAGAUCUGAAGUGACAGACACGCUGAUGACGAGGAGCAGAACGUCUUUGAGUGCUAUCCUCCUCUCCCUAUCUUCCUCCAGUUCAUCAUCAAUCUCUUGUACUUUGGCUUCAACUCUUGACUGUGCAAGAGAUGACAAAAUGCUAACAUUAUUGAACAUGUUGGAACCCCCUCUGUCGUAAAUAAAUCAAUGAUGUUCCUUGAGUGAA